This 19-nucleotide ribosomal RNA is filed under the name Solicoccozyma aeria. RNAcentral's name for it is "partial 28S ribosomal RNA". The record is from RNAcentral. Lineage: Eukaryota; Fungi; Basidiomycota; Tremellomycetes; Filobasidiales; Piskurozymaceae.
CUGGCCUCAAAUCAGGUAG